Molecule: ribosomal RNA, 178 nt
Filed under: uncultured bacterium
Lineage: Bacteria
Description: partial 16S ribosomal RNA
Rfam family: Bacterial small subunit ribosomal RNA
Source: RNAcentral
CGAUUGGCGUAAGGGGCAGUAAUGUGUAGGUACGUACCCCUGGAUCUGGGAUAGCUGCGGGAAACUGCAAUUAAUACCAGAUAAUGUCUUCGGACCAAAGGUGUGACUCCGUCUGGGGAGCGGCCUGCAUCCUAUUAGCUAGUUGGUGUGGUAAUGGCGCACCAAGGCAAAGAUGGGU